This 511-nucleotide ribosomal RNA is filed under the name uncultured bacterium. Its description in RNAcentral is "bacterial SSU rRNA". It matches the Rfam family "Bacterial small subunit ribosomal RNA", at positions 29 to 507 of the family's 1533-position model. The record is from RNAcentral.
ACGAACGCUGGCGGCGUGCUUAACACAUGCAAGUCGAACGGAGAUAUGAGAAUCAGUUUACUGAAUCUCAUAUCUUAGUGGCGGACGGGUGAGUAACGCGUGGGUAACCUACCCUUAACACCGGGACAACAGCUGGAAACGGCUGCUAAUACCGGAUGAUCUCUUGAUACGGCAUCGUAUUAAGAGGAAAGGUGGCCUCUGUAUAUGCUACCGAUUAAGGAUGGACCCGCGUCUGAUUAGCUAGUUGGUAAGGUAACGGCUUACCAAGGCUUCGAUCAGUAGCCGGCCUGAGAGGGUGACCGGCCACACUGGGACUGAGACACGGCCCAGACUCCUACGGGAGGCAGCAGUGGGGAAUCUUCCGCAAUGGGCGAAAGCCUGACGGAGCAACGCCGCGUGAAUGAAGAAGGCCUUCGGGUCGUAAAGUUCUGUUGAAAGGGAAGAAGUCUCUUUGUGUAAAUAAUGCCAAGAGGUGACGGUACCUUUUGAGGAAGCUCCGGCUAACUACGUG